GACGAACGCUGGCGGCGUGCUUAACACAUGCAAGUCGAGCGGUAAGGCCCCUUCGGGGGUACACGAGCGGCGAACGGGUGAGUAACACGUGGGUGACCUGCCCUCAGCUCUGGGAUAAGCCUGGGAAACCGGGUCUAAUACUGGAUAUGACUCCAUGACGCAUGUUGUGGGGUGGAAAGCCUUGUGCGGCUGAGGAUGGGCCCGCGGCCUAUCAGCUUGUUGGUGGGGUGANGGCCUACCAAGGCGACGACGGGUAGCCGGCCUGAGAGGGCGACUGGCCACACUGGGACUGAGACACGGCCCAGACUCCUACGGGAGGCAGCAGUGGGGAAUCUUGCGCAAUGGGCGAAAGCCUGACGCAGCGACGCCGCGUGAGGGAUGACGGCCU
RNAcentral lists this ribosomal RNA (388 nucleotides) under uncultured bacterium. RNAcentral's name for it is "bacterial SSU rRNA". It matches the Rfam family "Bacterial small subunit ribosomal RNA", at positions 28 to 417 of the family's 1533-position model. The record is from RNAcentral.